AUGAAACCACCGUCUCACACUCCCCAUCUCUCUUGUCAAAUCAGCAGCGGCUUCAAUUCAACCUUCUAUUCUCUGUCCUCUUCAUGCUCCCCUCACAACAUCUCCAACCUCUCUUUUGUUUCAAGCCGUCUCGCCUUCAUCUCAUCUACGAUUCAACCUUCCGCCACUCAUCUUCAGAUCAAUCAGUCGGAGUUCGUCCGACGCGUCUUCGACGGUGGCGGCGGCAAAGACGAGAAAUCGAGAGAAAUAGACUCAGAUUUAUCGUAG
This is a non-coding RNA of Vicia faba (fava bean), 267 nucleotides long. The record is from the annotation of a GenBank genome assembly. Lineage: Eukaryota; Viridiplantae; Streptophyta; Magnoliopsida; Fabales; Fabaceae.